GCCUAAAAUGCCUGUAUAUGUGCUUUAAUAUUCCUGCAAGGCAUGCAGUAUGCAACAACUGCAAAGACGACCCGUCUUCUGGUGAAUGUAAAACUGGAACUGCAGAUAUCUUAUUUUGUAAUAAUGUUAGGGUCACGUCUUUCAGCGACUCAUCAGGACCAGCUUGCAGUACUCUUCUGUUUGGAGGUAUCAUAGUUCCUGAUACUUCUGCUUGCAAUUGGGACUUCCCGUAUUUCCAAGCUGAAAUCGUGUGCAUUUCAAGCUCAUCAUGGGUCAGCAUUGGAUGACUUUCCUGGAGCUUCAACAAGAUCAAAAUGAAAUCAGAUGCAGUAAGCAUUCCUGAAAUCAUCGCAUUCUGUCCAUCCCAAAGAGGCAUCACUGCAAGUCGCUGAACAUAUAUUCAGCUAGU
This 409-nucleotide unclassified non-coding RNA is filed under the name Hevea brasiliensis (rubber tree). The record is from RNAcentral. Lineage: Eukaryota; Viridiplantae; Streptophyta; Magnoliopsida; Malpighiales; Euphorbiaceae.